UCUGACAGGCCCUCUUUUUCUCGGUGGGCUCGUGCAGCUACCAGUUAAAUUCCCAGUCCUCUACAAACAUUUCACUAGCGGCAUCAGAAAUGUUUACAUCGAUCACAAGUUCUUGGACCUCAGUCAGCCAUUGUACAACAACGGAACCAGUGCUAAAUGUAAAGCAAUGGGCAACACGUACGCAUAUAAACCUUGCAAGCGAGGCACGUGUUUUAACAUACUUGGUUCUCGCCGGUGUGACUGCUCCACUGGGUUUGAUGGAAGUCGCUGUGAAACUGGUGUAAAAUACACAGAGAGAUUCUCAGGACAGAGGUUUAGGAGGGUGCCUGCCAUCUCAAAGGUCAAUCUUCCGUGGAGUGUUUCAAUGAGAUUCCGCACAGCCAAGCCUUCAGGAACUCUGCUUGAAAUCGCUUUUUCGUCACCAUCUUCGGUGUCGGAGUAGGUUGAUGGUAAACUGUAAUACAACUACAAAGGGCUGUUGGUUCUCCAAUUGCCUCACAUAGCGGUGAAUGAUACCCAGUGGCAUCACAUCGAGAUCCUCUGGACAGAUUCUCCCUUAACAUAACAAUGGACUACAUCUACAAAGUCUCUGCAGAUGCAUCCAGUGGAAAAGACCUUGGAGUUGUCAGACAGUUUUUCAUGGGAGCGAGGAAGAAUUCUACCAAGUCUGCAGUGUAUGAUGGAUUUAGAGGCUGUAUACAAGGGGUUUUUGUCGGGAGCACUGAGAUCAACAUGAACUCUGGAGUCAAUCACAAAACAGCAUCCAUCUGGUUGUGAAGAGAAAAUGAGAAGCCACUGCUCAUCGAACCCUUGUCCAGACUAAAGUACGUGCCAAGAGGAAUUCGACUCCUACAAAUGCAUAUGUCCCGUAGGUUACGGUGGUAAACAUUGCGUGCGCAUAUGUUCUCUUAAGCCGUGCCGACAUGGCAAAUGUGAAAGUUCAAACCAUGGAAAGGGAUUCCGAUGUGUUUGUCCUCAACAGUAC
Pocillopora verrucosa is the source of this 985-nucleotide non-coding RNA. The record is from RefSeq and is a predicted model, not a curated record. Lineage: Eukaryota; Metazoa; Cnidaria; Anthozoa; Scleractinia; Pocilloporidae.